Molecule: ribosomal RNA, 227 nt
Filed under: Salmonella enterica subsp. enterica serovar Heidelberg
Lineage: Bacteria; Pseudomonadati; Pseudomonadota; Gammaproteobacteria; Enterobacterales; Enterobacteriaceae
Also listed under: 3 other names
Description: partial 23S ribosomal RNA
Rfam family: Bacterial large subunit ribosomal RNA
Source: RNAcentral
GGUGGGGUGACUGCGUACCUUUUGUAUAAUGGGUCAGCGACUUAUAUUCUGUAGCAAGGUUAACCGAAUAGGGGAGCCGGAGGGAAACCGAGUCUUAAUUGGGCGUUAAGUUGCAGGGUAUAGACCCGAAACCCGGUGAUCUAGCCAUGGGCAGGUUGAAGGUUGGGUAACACUAACUGGAGGACCGAACCGACUAAUGUUGAAAAAUUAGCGGAUGACCUGUGGCU